Long non-coding RNA from Pocillopora damicornis (cauliflower coral), 1335 nucleotides. RefSeq lists it as uncharacterized. The record is from RefSeq and is a predicted model, not a curated record. Lineage: Eukaryota; Metazoa; Cnidaria; Anthozoa; Scleractinia; Pocilloporidae.
GUCGCUUACGGGUCCUGUGGCUCGUAUUGGUUACCCUGUACAUUUCAUUGACUUGCGUUAACGCAUAGUCAAAUUGAAUAAUUUAGAUGUAGCAUAAAGACAGUUUGGCGACAUCGUAUCUGCAGAUGUCCUUUUGAGGCAAAUUGCACGAAAAUCGAUUUAAGACAAAACAUUUUAGGAAGUACUAUCUACCUCUCCAGCUUUUAAAUGCCACGCGCACGUAUCUGAAUCCGAGGUGACGAGUGGUUUUGAGAGAAGACACCGGCUUUAAUCCUACCUAGCUGAUAAAAAUAUUGAAGCAGACUACAAAACCACACGGUUGCCAACCAGUUGCUUAAAACGCAGCACAGAGUUCUGAUCUACUGGAACUCAAUACCCUAAAAGAACGCAAUAAUCUUUGCAACACUGGAGUCUGAAGCAACUGUUAAGAUUUUUUCCUUGAUUCUAGCGGCCGCCAUAUUUUCUGUUUUCAUGGUGAUCGCAGUAGCGGCGCAUCUGUUAUGUUUUGAAAGAAGAACACUCAAAGUAAGGUCUGUUUUAUUAUCAGAGGGGAGGAAGAGAGCAGCGAACUUCGAAUAUUCUUGUUCAGUUUGACGCUUCGAGAGACACAGAGAAACUUGGGACGUUAAAGAGUGAUUUGUACACAACAACAACAACAGUAACAGCAGGAAGAGCGACAAUACAACAACCAUUUGGUAAACAAAAACCGCCUCUCUAAUAAAUAGCAAGUGCCAUUUUGUAGCUAACAAUCUUAGACAACAUGAAUAAUUAACCUGAUACUGAGGUGUUUAGUAGGCAACCAAGAGUAUUAUCAACUUAAGUUUGGCUUGGUAUUGCUGGGGUCUGGAAUCCUAGAAUGAAUUGCUGAGUUCACCAAGGAAUCGAUAAACGUCUUUGUUGUGACGAGGACGAUAAGUCAGCCUUCUGUUGAUAAUAACUGAGUUGUGUGGGAUUAAUUCUUCAUUUUCAUCUAUGAUACAUGUUGCUUUUUUGUCCAUGACCUUAAAUGGACGAGUGAACCUUGGAUGUUCUUAAAAAAAAUAAUGCUAACCAAGUUUUUAGUGCUAGUGAGUGAUCGGAUCAUUUAAAGAAUAUUACACGUGUGACCCUGUGCUGAGGGUAUGAACGCUGUAAAAAUUUCACCUCCAUCAUUCAUUAAAAAAAUUUACUGCCUCCGCAAAAAUGCCAAAUAUUACAUCCAAGAGGAAAUAAUAGCCAAAACAAAUGAAGUUGAGGUAAAUAUUAACUGUUAGUGAGAAAUAAAAGUUGCUUUGAGAAAAUUGCAUUGUAAAAUAAGAUAUAUGACGACGAAGUAAAGAUUACUUAGAACUUUAA